RNAcentral lists this ribosomal RNA (367 nucleotides) under uncultured bacterium. Its description in RNAcentral is "bacterial SSU rRNA". It matches the Rfam family "Bacterial small subunit ribosomal RNA", at positions 527 to 896 of the family's 1533-position model. The record is from RNAcentral.
GUAGGUGGCAAGCGUUGUCCGGAUUUAUUGGGUUUAAAGGGUGCGUAGGCGGUUCCAUAAGUCAGUGGUGAAAUACAAUAGCUUAACUAUUGAGGUGCCAUUGAUACUGCGGAACUUGAGUACAGACGAGGUAGGCGGAAUUGACGGUGUAGCGGUGAAAUGCUUAGAUAUCGUCAAGAACACCGAUAGCGAAGGCAGCUUACUAGACUGUAACUGACGCUGAGGCACGAAAGUGUGGGGAUCAAACAGGAUUAGAUACCCUGGUAGUCCACACUGUAAACGAUGAUUACUCGAUGUUGGCGAUACACAGCCAGCGUCUUAGCAAAAGCGAUAAGUAAUCCACCUGGGGAGUACGCCKKCAAMGGUG